RNAcentral lists this ribosomal RNA (460 nucleotides) under uncultured bacterium. Its description in RNAcentral is "partial 16S ribosomal RNA". It matches the Rfam family "Bacterial small subunit ribosomal RNA", at positions 338 to 795 of the family's 1533-position model. The record is from RNAcentral.
CCUACGGGAGGCAGCAGUGAGGAAUAUUGGUCAAUGGGCGGGAGCCUGAACCAGCCAAGUCGCGUGAGGGAAGACGGUCCUAUGGAUUGUAAACCUCUUUAGGCGGGGAGCAAUGCCGGGCACGUGUGCCCGGAGGGAGAGUACCCGCAGAAUAAGCAUCGGCUAACUCCGUGCCAGCAGCCGCGGUAAUACGGAGGAUGCGAGCGUUAGCCGGAUUUAGUGGGGUUAAAGGGUGCGUAGGCGGAUUUUUAAGUCAGCGGUAAAAUGUCCGGGCUCAACCCGGGCCGGCCGUUGAAACUGGGGAUCUUGAGUGGGCGAGAAGUAUGCGGAAUGCGUGGUGUAGCGGUGAAAUGCAUAGAUAUCACGCAGAACUCCGAUUGCGAAGGCAGCAUACCGGCGCCCGACUGACGCUGAGGCACGAAAGCGUGGGGAUCGAACAGGAUUAGAUACCCUAGUAGUC